RNAcentral lists this ribosomal RNA (253 nucleotides) under uncultured bacterium. Its description in RNAcentral is "partial 16S ribosomal RNA". It matches the Rfam family "Bacterial small subunit ribosomal RNA", at positions 524 to 776 of the family's 1533-position model. The record is from RNAcentral.
UACGUAGGGGGCAAGCGUUGUCCGGAUUUAUUGGGCGUAAAGAGCGUGUAGGCGGCCUGACAGGUCUGCUGUGAAAACUCGAGGCUCAACCUCGAGAUGUCGGCGGAAACCGUCUGGCUAGAGUCCGGAAGAGGAGAGUGGAAUUCCUGGUGUAGCGGUGAAAUGCGCAGAUAUCGUCUGGAACGCCAAAGGUGAAAACAGACUGCUGGGAGUGUGCUGACGCUGAGACACGAAAGCCAGGGGAGCAAACGGG